GAUAAAUUCCCUUCUUAUGGAUAUUGUCAUUUUCUGUUCAAUUGAAGAUAAUUCAAACAAUUAGACAGAUAAAAAAAAGAAAAGGAAACAUCAAGAAGAUGACCGUAAUUUAUUCAUAACAGAGCUGGUGAAGCAGAAUGCCUAAUUAAGAUAGAUUACUAUAAGUGUCCAACGUAAAAUGAUAAACACCGUUGAUAAUUAUAUGGAAUUGUAUUUGUGUUUGCUGAAACUCUUUGGCUAGCUAUUAACUAGUGCCAUGUAGGCUCGAUCCAACCACGGAAGAUCAGUUUUUACUCAGGCACUCGUAAUCCUUUAGUGAACCUUCAUUCACGGAAGAGUAAUACAUUCCUGUUCUAGGAGAAUAUGACAAAGUCGGAUAGCCCAUAAUAUCUAGGAAAGUAGAUUUUCCCUCCCAUUUCCCGGGGGGUUUUGCCACUGCUGAGGAGGCCGUGAACCGUUAAGAUACAACGUACGGUUUCCCAGACUCUCGACUCUCUCCCAACAUUGUAGAGCGAUUCAACCUGAAAAACUUGUACCCGUGUUCCCUGACAAAACACCGGAGGAGUUAUCCUUCACUCUCAAAUAAGUAGUUCUGUUUGGAAGGUUUGCAGCAAGGUUUCCGGGGAUUUUCUAGAACUUCCCAAUGGCAACCACCCUGAUCACCUUAUUCUAAUCUGAAACCUCCGAGUCUCCUGUUCUUUCCCAUAAAGUAAAAGCCGCUGUUGGUGAAAAUUGGAACACUGAAACUUGGCCAGAAACCUAGAUCGAUUCCAAUACAAAUCCAUUCCUCCUCCCUUGAACGACUAAUAAAAACUUAUUUGU
RNAcentral lists this long non-coding RNA (822 nucleotides) under Actinidia chinensis (golden kiwifruit). RNAcentral describes it as "long non-coding RNA (ACHI_LNC000037)". The record is from RNAcentral. Lineage: Eukaryota; Viridiplantae; Streptophyta; Magnoliopsida; Ericales; Actinidiaceae.